CUUCUCCCCUCAGUCUCAGUCAGAGGCCAGCUGCAUCCACCUCUUGAUGUAUUUCUCAAUUUCACCAUCAGAAGCUUUGGUUCUAUGGUGGUUUCACCAGACAGCACCUUUAAAAAUGAGAGACACAGUGAGAGAGAGAGAGACAAAAGGACACCCCUGCCCGACUCCCGGUUCAACCCGUGCCAACCAGCUGUAAGUGUCCAGGGCUCCAUGAAGAACCAUCCACUGGAGGUCCCCUGACCUCUUUGGUACUG
This 254-nucleotide long non-coding RNA is filed under the name Salmo salar (Atlantic salmon). RNAcentral describes it as "lncRNA (ENSSSAG00000101783.1, ENSSSAG00020082473.1)". Lineage: Eukaryota; Metazoa; Chordata; Actinopteri; Salmoniformes; Salmonidae. The record is from RNAcentral.